This 878-nucleotide ribosomal RNA is filed under the name Cellulomonas sp. KAR33. RNAcentral's name for it is "bacterial SSU rRNA". It matches the Rfam family "Bacterial small subunit ribosomal RNA", at positions 46 to 932 of the family's 1533-position model. The record is from RNAcentral. Lineage: Bacteria; Bacillati; Actinomycetota; Actinomycetes; Micrococcales; Cellulomonadaceae.
GCUUAACACAUGCAAGUCGAACGGUGAUGAUGGGGCUUGCCCUGUCUGAUCAGUGGCGAACGGGUGAGUAACACGUGAGUAACCUGCCCCUGACUCUGGGAUAACCGUGGGAAACGACGGCUAAUACCGGAUAUGAGACGCCCACGCAUGUGGAGCGUCUGGAAAGAUUUAUUGGUCUGGGAUGGACUCGCGGCCUAUCAGCUUGUUGGUGGGGUAAUGGCCUACCAAGGCGACGACGGGUAGCCGGCCUGAGAGGGCGACCGGCCACACUGGGACUGAGAUACGGCCCAGACUCCUACGGGAGGCAGCAGUGGGGAAUAUUGCACAAUGGGCGAAAGCCUGAUGCAGCGACGCCGCGUGGGGGAUGAAGGCCUUCGGGUUGUAAACCCCUUUCAGCAGGGAAGAAGCGAAAGUGACGGUACCUGCAGAAGAAGCGCCGGCUAACUACGUGCCAGCAGCCGCGGUAAUACGUAGGGCGCAAGCGUUGUCCGGAAUUAUUGGGCGUAAAGAGCUCGUAGGCGGUUUGUCGCGUCUGCUGUGAAAUCCUGAGGCUCAACCUCGGGCUUGCAGUGGGUACGGGCAGACUAGAGUGCGGUAGGGGUGACUGGAAUUCCUGGUGUAGCGGUGGAAUGCGCAGAUAUCAGGAGGAACACCGAUGGCGAAGGCAGGUCACUGGGCCGCAACUGACGCUGAGGAGCGAAAGCAUGGGGAGCGAACAGGAUUAGAUACCCUGGUAGUCCAUGCCGUAAACGUUGGGCACUAGGUGUGGGGCUCAUUCCACGAGUUCCGUGCCGCAGCAAACGCAUUAAGUGCCCCGCCUGGGGAGUACGGCCGCAAGGCUAAAACUCAAAGGAAUUGACGGGGGCCCGCACAAGCGG